AGGUUGAUGGUUACCAGAUUAGGAGCAUUAAUUGCGGAGGAGACAUCAUUACUGCAGAGAAUUUCGGAGCAUUAAUAGUUUUAUACUCCGAAACUGGGGGGCCUGUGUUGACACCAUUUUUGGGCACGUGUCCAGGAUGGCAGGACAGGGUGGCAGUACGAUGCGGGUUGCUGGUAAGGAUGGUUGCCGAUGAGGGAAAGGUUGAAUGUGACUAAGUCCUCAGACAGUAAUAUGGUGCCGAUGACCAAGUAAAAGGGUCUGCCGAUGACUAUAGCAAGGGGAUUGCCGAUGACGCGAACGAGGAGUCCGGAAGCUGCCAGUUGUCAUGUGGAGGAGUUUCGGUUUGUCACGAAGGAUGGUUUUAUUAUUUCCUUAUGUUAUUCGUAUCGUUUUGUAUACGGGUUCCGUGUAAUUUGGAAUUCGAAUUCUAAUCGUGUCUGGUCGUAGCUCUUUGAGCAGGGUAUAAAUAUAAGCCCUAAGACCUUGUAAUCAGGAGAUCUAUCAAGAAAUCAAUCAAACAUACGUUUUUACUCAUAUUCCAGCAUCUACUUUUCGACGACUUCGUCAUACUUUUUUUCUUUUUAUUACGAGUUCUUAGGAAUUCGUCGACUUAAGCUCGGCAUGUUCUCGAGUUCCGCGUGAGUACCUCUUAGCCGUGACAUCCGGGCGCAUCGCUGUUGUCAGGACUAAAGUAUUCGAAUUAUCACCUUUGCCGAUAGCAAGGUCAAAUCGGCUGGCACGCCUUAACGUUUGAAUCAGGUAUUAGCCCUUUGUGUUUGCAGAUCGAUUUUGCAUCAACACGACCACUACCACCGCGCUGACGACCUGGGUCGUUGAUGCGACGUAGAGGAGUAGCGGCUCUGCGGGAUGAGGUGGGACCAGGACGGGUGCCGAGGUCAGGGUCUUCUUCAGCCUUUCAAGCGCUCCCUCGGCCUCGGGGGUCCAAGAAAAGUGCUCGAAUUUCUUCAGGAGUCGAUACAAUGGUAACGCCUUUUCUCCUAGUCUCGAGAUGAAACGGCUCAGAGCCGCCAGGCACCCCGUGACUCUCUGCACACCCUUGAUGUCUCGGAUCGGCCCCAUUCUCGUGAUGGCCGAGACUUUCUCGGGAUUGGCCUCGAUACCGCGCUGCGAAACGAUGUAGCCUAGGAGCAUGCCUCGAGGCACACCAAAAACGCACUUCUCGGGAUUGAGCUUGAUCUGGUUGGCGCGUAGACAGCUAAAAGCAAUCUCGAGGUCCUGGAUUAGGUCCCCUCGACGCCUUGUCUUGACGACGAUGUCAUCGACAUAGGCUUCGACCGUCGACCCUAUAUGUUCACCAAAUACAUGGAGCAUGCAACGUUGGUACGUGGCUCCCGCGUUUCGAAGCCCAAACGGCAUGGUCACAUAGCAAUACAUCCCAAAAGGCGUGAUGAAAGAGGUCGCGAGCUGAUCGGACUCCUUCAUUUUUAUUUGGUGGUAACCAGAAUAUGCAUCAAGGAAAGAAAGGGUUUCACAUCCCGCGGUAGAAUCGACAAUCUGAUCAAUCCGUGGCAAUGGAAAAGGAACCUUUGGACAUGCUUUAUUUAGACUAGUAUAAUCGACACACAUCCUCAUUUUCCCAUUCUUUUUCUUAACUAAUACAGGGUUUGCUAACCAGUCGGGAUGAUGAACCUCCUUGAUGAAUCCGGCCGUCAAAAGCUUGUGGACUUCCUCGCCAAUGAUCUUGCGCUUCUCCUCGUCGAAUCGGCGCAACUGCUGCUUCACUGGCUUGGAACCGGCUCGAAUCUCCAAGGAGUGCUCGGCGACUUCCCUCCGUAUGCCUGGCAUGUCCGAGGGACUCCAUGCAAACAUGUCGGCAUUUGCACGGAGAAAGUCGACGAGCACAGCUUCCUAUUUGGGGUCGAGGUCGGUGCUGAUCGUCAGCACUUUGCCGUCGGAGUUGUUGGGGUCGAGCGGGAUCUUUUUGGUUCCUUCUGCCGCCUCGAAGCUGCCCGCGUGGCGCUUAGGCUGUGGAGCCUCAGCGGCCAGGGCCUCGAGCUUCGCGACUAGCUCGGUGGAGCUCUCGACCGCCUCCCCGUACUCGACGCACUCAACGUCGCACUCGUACGCGUGCUCGAAGGAGGAACUGACAGUGAUGACGCCUUUGGGUCCGGGCAUCUUCAGCUUCAAGUAAGUGUAGUUGGGUAUAGCCAUGAACUUGGCGUAGCCCGGGCGUCCGAUGAUGGCGUGGUACGUGCCUCGGAACCCAACCACCUCAAAGGUGAGGGUCUCCUUCCUGAAGUUGGCCGCCGUGCCGAAGCAGACCGGUAAGUCAAUUCGACCUACCGACAGUGCCUUUUUCCCUGGCACGACGCCAUGGAAACCGCCGGCGCUUGGUUGGAGUUUUCCUCUAUCUAUGCCGAGGAGGUCGAGGGUCUCGAGGUAGAUGAUGUUGAGACUGCUGCCACCAUCCAUCAGCACUUUCGAGAGUCGGGUGUUAACGAUGAUGGGGUCGACGACGAGCGGGUAGCCGCCGGGGGCGACUACCUUGUCGGGGUGGUCCUCUCGGUCAAAAGUGAUAGGAGUUCUUGACCAGCUAAGGUACUGGGGCACCGCCAUUCUUGCCGCAAAGACCUCACGACGCUCCCUUUUGCGCUGCCUCGUGGUUAAUUGAGUCGAGGGUCCGCCAUAGAUCAUGUAGCAGUCGUGGACGGCGGGGAAGCCAUCGUCAUCUUUGUUGUCCUCCUUGCUGCCACCCUUCUCUUUCUUGGAGUCGUCACGCACAUCUUUUUUGAACCCCAGACCGUCGAAAUGCUUUCUCAGCAUACGACAGUCUUUGAGCUUGUGGUUGGCGCCUCCCUUAUGGUAAGGGCACGGCUCCUCCAACAUCUUGUCGAAGAUGCCUCCAUCCGGAGGGCCUCGAGGUUUCUUUCGAUCCAUGGCGGCGACAAGGUUGUCAUCGGAAUCCUCCCGGUGGAACUGUCGUACUUUCUGCUUCUUUUUAUUUUUCUUGAGGCCUCGACUGGGGGUCCCGUCUUCAUCGAUGGGCUGCUUACCUUUUCUUAUUUCAGAGCUGAAGAAGGCGCCGACUGCCUCCUCCCCUGCCGCGUAGUUGGCUACUACGUCCAUCAGCUCGUCGACGGUCUGAGGUCGAUUGCGACCUAAUUCCCGCACCAAGUCUCAACUGGUGGUGCCCAAGACGAACGCCAAGAUGACGUCGUGGUCAGGGAUGUGCGGCAGCUCAGUGCGCUGCUUCGAGAAGCAUCGAGCAUACUCCCGAAGAGUUUCUCCUGACUUCUGCUUGCAUUUGCUGAGGUCCCACGAGUUCCCUGGCCGUAUGUAGGUCCCUUUGAAGUUGUAGACUCUGACCAGAUCAACCCAGUUGUGGAUCUGAUCUGCGGGGAGUUCCUCGAGCCAUCGACGGGCGGUGUCAGAGAGGAAAAGCGGGAGUUGCCUGAUGAUAGCUCGAUCGUCUCCUCGAGCUCCCCCCAACUGACAGGCUAGCCUAAAAUCGGCUAACCACAAUUCUGGUUUGGUUUCGCCGUUGUACUUUGCGAUGCUGGUCGGGGGUCGGAAUGGAUUGGGCAGGGCCAUGCUGCGGAUCGCCCUGCUGAACACCCGUGGGCCCGGUGGCUCAGGGGCCACCCGGUACUCGUCGCUGUCGUAUCUCCCGCCGCGAUGCGCGCUGUAACCGCGCGCUUCCGCGUCUCCGUGCCGGCGGCGUCGAUUUUCUUCGAUGUCGUGCCGCGCGUCGUGUCGACGCUGAUUGUCGACGGGGAGGAUGAGAGCGGUCCUUCUGCCUCGAGGGGGAGGUUGUUGGUGGACUGACACCUCCUUUUCGUUUUGAGGCUGUUCGUCGCGUUUCUCUGUGGCAGCUCCUCGUCGUCGAGAUGCCGAGCUUUCGGCUUGUUGAACUGCCGCCACCUGGAGCAAUGUCUGUACCUCAUCUCGAAUGUGUCGGGCCUGGGAAUUCGACGGCUCUGGCAUGUUACGCAGCAACAUCGUUGGUGCCACUACAUUCUGGCCUGCUCGAGGGAAACGGUUGACAGGUUGCUCUGGCUCCGCGUCGCCGACGAUCUGACGAUGUACCUCUCGAGUGCGUCUGCGGGCACUUCCGCCCGGCGGGUAGGGCAGGUCUUGCUCGAGGAUUUGCUCGAGCAGGACGAGGCGCUCGCGGUCUUUGUCGACCUUCAUCUUGAGCUCCCGCAGCUGCGCGAGCUGCGCGGUUCUGUCUUCCUGCGGAGGGGGGUCGACUUGUCCGUCGUUUCCAGGCGUCCUGGGGUCUUCUCGUGCCGCGGGGGCUCGACCGCCUGCAGCGGCAUCCUGUGUCUCAUCGAUAGUUUCUACCGCUCUGUCGAUGUGAUAGCAUUCCCUCGUAGGGUCGUAGCUAUCAGUCUCGGAGUCGGAGCCUGGUUCGGCGGCGUAGAAACGCCCACGCCCCUCCUCCAGCAAUCGCUGCCUGAGGGAGGUGAUUGUGUAACGUCCAGGGCCUAGACGACGGAGGCCUCGUACCCGGGAAAGGUCCGGCAGCUCGGGCGCCGGUUGCUGCGGUUCAGAGCUACGUGGGAGGACCGUUGGUCUUUCCAUGUACGUCUGGGCGUUUGGGCAUAUUUCUCUGGCGAGCGACGCCGCGGCGUUGUCCAAUCCGAGUGGCAGUGCCGCUCUUGGAGUGAACAACCCGUGUGGAAGUAGCCUAGCAGCGGUGGGGGAGAACGCGCGAGACGCGUCCCCUCCUGUCGUUGCGCGGUGCUGAGUCGUCGCGCUUGUUGCUCCGCCACACGGUGCUGCCGACUUGUGGCCCACUUCCUGCCUCGCACGAGUUCUUGGUCGUGAUGAGGCAGAGGGGCCGCGGUGGUGCUGUGCGCGCCUCUUCUUAGGCGGGGAGGUGUGGUGGUGAGGGCAUCUCGGGGCCUUCAACCGUGCUGGCGCAACGCGGGCUCCUCCUGGUCCUCUAACUGAGAGCAAGAUCAUGUCGUAGCCGGAGCCCGUAGACAUGAACUCGAGACUCCCAAACCAAAUCACCGUGGAGCGCGGAAACGGCGAGGCAAGAAUGGCCAUCUGGAAAGGAGUGGGAAAUCGAUGAAAAACACGCAGGACCCCUACCUGGCGCGCCAACUGUCGGUGUUUUCCCCCUGGGGGGUCACACCAACGAGUAAAUUUGUAUGCGUGCUCCCUUUCCCAGAUGGUGAUGCAAGAAGACACGGAGAUUUAUCCUAGUUCGGGCAAGAGAAGGCCCUACGUCCAGCGGGGGGGAGAGAGCUUGUAUUAUCUUGCACCUAAGUGCUUGUACAGGGGUGAAUACAAGUGCGGUAUGAAGUGUGGAGCUCUACUACGUGUGAGCGUGGUGCUCUCCGGGCGUUCUGUUCCUGAGUCCCUCCUUUUAUAGUCCCAAGGAGAGACCCAGGAUAUAUGUAUAGGCGUCAGAAUAGGAGUCGAUAGCAGCAUGGAGCGCUGACCUACUCGAGGCUUCCGUACCGGCGUGGCCUCGAGCCGUCCCGUCUUGGUAGCCUGGCGAUGAUUACGCGUGGUCUGUUAUCCUGCUCUGCACCCCGUCGUGGAUUGUUUUACCGGAUGUGCGCUCGUACGACCCGACGACAAAUCCGGCGGAGUGGUUGGGAUGUGGUCAGUCGACGCCCAACUCGUCCCUUGGAAGGAUCCCUGUCUGGUCGAGGUUCGGAUGCCGUACAUUGUGCUGAUAUCUGGAGCGCUGACUUCAGAUGUCUCGAGGGGGUCCCGACUAGACGUUCCAUCCUCGUUUCCCGCGUUCUGACACAUCUAGGGUCGUCUGGUGGGAAGACUGCAAAAAGAACGAUGGGACAGAUGCUUGUUCCCUUAUCACGUCUCCCAUGACCCAUGUGUUAGGUGGGGAAGCGUCAGGUGCAUUAAAUGCCCUGGCUCUCGUGCGCGCGUCAGGCGGCGGACAGUGUCCUUGCUCUCGAUGCCUCUUGAUUCGCUCGAGACCGCUUCCGUAUUCGACGGCAGUUGGCGCUCGAGCCCUGAUCGAUUCGCUCGACGCUACUUCCGUUUUUGAGGCCGCGGCCGUCGACGGUUGCGCGUAUGUAUGGACGGUGCGUCGAAUUGAAGAUCUAGUCUUAUGUACGGAUGGUCUUGUUAUAUGUAUUGUUGAGGGUACCCCUUGUUGAUACCCUCGACAUGAGUACUUCUAAUCUAUAGGACCCUAUAGGUUAGAGUUGUAGUAUAGGUGUAAGCGUGGUGCUUAGACCUAGAUUACUUGUGGAUAUCCCCUGACUAGCUGGAUCGUGUGGUAGGCCGCGUAGGUGACAGUUACGUUGGUCCCCUGUAGUCCACCUCUCGUUAGCAGGACGGGUAGGGUUUAUCGGCCUAUGGAUAAGAAUCCUUUGUGGUAUACUCUUAUCACGUGGUUCGUCCCAGACAUAGACAUACCCCUUUGAAGUAGAGAAACCAUAGUUAUCCUCUCUAUUCUGCUACCAUCGCCCAUAUACUAGAAUUGCUCUACUCUCUAUUCCCAUAUUAUCACUCACUGUUAUCUUACCUUCAAUAUUGUUCUUAUUCGAUUCUACCAUCUUUCCUAUUCACACCUAUUUAAUUAUCUUGGUUAAUUUAGAGCGUAGAUCAGUUCUCCCGUUUCCCUGUGGAUACGAUAAAACCUUUAACCGGGUAAAAGCUUCAACGGUAUCCGUGCGCUUGCGGAUUAUCUGUGUGCGUAUAAAUACCAUAGUACACUCUAGUGCCAUGCUGGGGAUGACAACCUAGUAUUCAAGUGGUGUUAGCAAGUGUCAACAAGGGCCUAACCAGAGAGCAGCGAGCAUGGUUGCCUUAUGAUGAUCAAGAUACCAUGUUCCCUUUGGUCUUCCAUCCAUUCAACGAUGCUCUUAACAAAGAUCAUGAAGUGAUGAUGGCAUUGAUCACUCCCAGAGUCAUACAAGUAAACUUUUUUGGCUGUGGGAAAACCUCCAACCAAACCUAUGAAUUCUACAACCCAUCGGCACUAGCCUGUCAAUUAGCUUUCGGCCAGCUGCCGAUUGCACUCUGUUAUGCCGAUGUAAUAAAACCCAGGGAAGCCAUCACUAACCUCCUCGAAUGGAUUCAAGUAGCCCAACUGCCAUCAAGUGCCGAUACAGAUGCAGAUUUAUUAGAGUGGGUUCCGGCCACCUUCAUCUCUCAGUCGUACAAACAAUGGUGGGCAGAAUGGAAGGAGGACUUGUUCUGUAAAUCGGCUCUUACGUACCGCGGCAUGAUCGAUCCCCAGUAUGAAGUUCCUGAUAACACUGUAAGUACCUUCGAACUGAUGUUUCAAUUCUCUCAAUUUUACUUCCAUCGGUAACUCACUUCUGUAUUAUCUUGCAGGUUGACAACACCCCUCCAUCGGUCAGCAGGAGUGGCAAGCCUAUUGACCUGUUCCCAUCGGGUCCGAUCUCUUAAAUCGGCAACAAUGCUCCUACCUUGGCUGCCAUAAUGCACCGAGGUGUACACCUUAAGAAAGUCACCACCAAGCGCACAAAGACAUCUCCAUCGGUGGCUGCUUCCACCUUAGCACAGGCCUUUAAGGUAACUGUUAAACCUUUUCAUUCAUACCGAUUUUACUUUUACAUUUGCUACAUCGGUACUCACAAAUUCUCCUUUCCGUAUCAGCAGUCCAACGCAUCGGCAAAGAUUAGAAGCAAAAGUGCCGAUGCCCCCCAGUCCAGUCAACCGAAGAGAAAGGGUGCCAAGAACACCAGAGCACAAGCAAAGCGCCAAAGAGUAGCAAUGCCUUCUCCUCCCCCGGUAUCUCCAAUUCCAGUGGAAUCUUCUCCUUCCUCCCCAGAAGUCCAAAGGCAACAACUACCAUCUCCCCCUCCGCUGCAAGAAGCACCACAAGUGGGAGAACCUCAGCCAGAAGAGCCUCAACUAGAAGUACCUCAGCCAGAAGACAUAUCGGCUGAUGUGAGUGAACAGACUACCGAUCCAGCAGGCUCAAUCAUAGCAUCGGUAGUUUCCUCAAUCCAGAAAAGCACUGCACCUCCUCAAGGUAAAAUCUUUACAAAGUCAUUGCCGAUAAUCCCACUUUUCUGUUCUCAUAAUUCCUUCUACCACUUUUCAGCUGACAUAGUUCCAUCGGCAACUCAGGCCGAUCAACCGUAAUGCCAUCAGCAUCUUCCAGUCAGAGGCGAGAGAUUGCCUUGAAGCAAGUAAGCCAACCAAUCUCCAUCAGUAUUAUUUGCCGAUGCUUGACCAUGGAAUGACUCACUUUAUUUUCUUUUUCAGGAACAGGACUCUCCCGACAGCCUGUUCUCCUUUGCCAUUGAUAUCUCCGAAGAUGAAGGUGAGGAAGCAAGCUCCUCCCGGGCAGUUGGGAUCACAUUGGCAGAGAUCAGGGCAAAGCUGGAAGAACUGUCGGCUCUCCACCAUCAAGACACUGCCCAAUUAGUUGAUGACUUUGAUCCGGCCAAGGCUUUAUUCAAGACCUUGAGAGGCCAAAUUCCUGCCGAUGCUGAAGAAAUCCUCUUCUAGGCUGCACAUCUGGAGAGCCGUCAGCUGCAGUACCAGAAAGCUGCCCAGCGCCUUGCCGACAGAGCGGCUCAUGCCCAACUCUCUGAGGAGAUGAUGAAGGUGAAGCUCCUUGCCGAUGAGAAGCACAAGAACAUCGGCAUCUUACAGUCCUCAGGAGAUGCGUUGAAGCAGAAAAUCUCCGAUCUAUCGGCGAGAAGAGAAACUUUGUUAGCAUAACUCAAACAAGUAGAGGAUGCCCUGUCCCAAGCCCGAUAGGAAGAAAGCCAACUGCCAGAGACAAUCAAGCUUCUUGAGCAAGAGCGAAAUGUCCAUGGUCGCAAGGCACUGCUGCUGAAGAAGAAGUUAAAGCCGGUAGAAGGUUCUGCCGAUGACGACGUGAAGGAGAUAGAGGAAGCCAACCAGAUUCGUCUGCGCGCCAUAUCGACGAUCCAAGCGCUGUUGAACACAUGAGCGCUUCAUUGGCAAUACAUCCUCGUCCCUUUGCUUUUCAGCUUUCCUGACAUUUAGUCUAGCCGAUAGGACUGUUAUCGGCAUCUCUUGAAACAUUAAGUCCGACCCCAGACACAUUUUGAUCCAGCCGAUAGGAGUGUUAUCGGCAUUUACACUUUUAUGCAUCGACCCAUAUACUUUGGUAGUACUUCUUCAGAUAUUUGCCAUUUAAUGCUCUGGGAAAUUCGACCCCUUCGAGGGUUUCUAAGAUAUAAGCGUUACCAGGAGCCGAUCGACCUAUUCGAUAGGGACCUUCCCAAUUGGGAGACCACUUCCCAAAUUUUGAACUCUUAGUCCCGAUUGGUAGGAUUAAUUUCCACACUAAGUCUCCAUCGGCAAACUCCUUAGCCUUUACUUUCUUAUCAUACCACCUGGCAACCCUCUUCUUAUUUUCUUCUAUACUCAUCAAGGCCUUCAGCCGAUGUCCUGCUAGAUCAUCCAACUCGUCUGUCAUCAAAGUAGCAUAAUCAUCGGCAGCCAAUUGAUCUUGAAAAGAUAUUCGCCGAGACUCAGCCUUAAUUUCCCAAGGUAGUACUGCAUCAUGCCCAUACACCAAUUGAUAAGGUGAAACUUUGGUCGAUCCAUGCCAAGCCAUCCGGUACGACCACAAGGCUUCAUUCAACAACGUAUGCCACCUCCUAGGAUUUUCCUCAAUCUUUCACUUGAUAAGCUUGAUAAUCCCUUUGUUAGAUGCCUUGGCCUGCCCAUUAGCUUGUGCAUAAUAAGGAGAAGAAUUUAAUACUUUAAUUCCCAUAUCGAUUGCAAAUUCAUCAAAUUCCCCUGACGUGAACAUAGUGCCCUGAUCUGUAGUAAUCGUGUGAGGAAUUCCAAAUCGGUAAAUGAUGUGCUCUUUCACAAAAUCAAUCAUAUUGGCCGAUGUGACUUUCUUCAAAGGAAUAGCUUCAACCCAUUUGGUGAAAUAAUCGGUGGCAACUAAAAUAAACUUAUGCCCUUUGCUAGACGGUGGAUAAAUCUGGCCGAUCAAAUCAAUAGCCCAUCCUCGAAACGGCCAAGGCUUUAUAAUAGGAUUCAUAGCCGAUGCAGGCGCCCUUUGAAAUACUUAAAACAAUCCUCAAGUAUGGUCAGCUAAUAAUAUCCAUUCCUCCUAAUCAUCCACUUCAUCUUAAAAGCCGACUGAUGUGAUCCACAUACCCCUUCAUGGAUUUCUCCCAUCAAACUCUUAGCUUCAUCAUCACCUAAGCAUCGGAGAAGAAUCCCAUCAAUAGUUCGAUAGUACAAUUCAUCUUCGAGGAGCACAUACUUGGUGGCUUGAAACCGAACCCGUCUUUCAACUUUCUUAGAUGGAUCCUUCAAAUAAUCAAUGAUUUCUUUUCUCCAAUUAUCGGCACCGAUUGCCGAUAUUGCAUUAAUCAUAGGCUGAUAUCCCGAGGCAUGCUGAGCCAACCGAUUGGCCUCUUCAUUAUGCAAUUGAGGAACAUGCUCUAAUCGGAAAUCUUUGAAUUCCUUUAAUAGUUGCAUACUCCUUUCGUAAUAACUUAUGAGAACUUCACUUCGGCAUUCAUAGCUUCCAGCCAAUUGAUUUAUAACUAGCAUAGAAUCCCCGAAGACCUCAACAGCAUCAGCAUGAACUUCUCUUAACAAUUCCAACCCCUUUAUCAAAGCUUGAUACUCAGCUCGAUUAUUUGUUGACGUGGCAACAAUCGGCAAAGAGAAUUCAUACUUCCUUCCCUGAGGGAAAAUUAACACGAUGCCGAUUCCUGCCCCUCGGUCACAUGUGGAUCCAUCAAAGAAGAGUGUCCGAGGUACAAUCUCCAAAGUCUCUGCUGUACCACAAUGUUUGGUCACAAAAUCGGCCAUAAUCUGUCCCUUAACCGCUUUAGCCGAUUCGUAACGCAGAUCGAAUUCCAACAGUGCCAAAAUCCACUUACCGAUCCUGCCGCUCAUGAUCGGCAUAGACAGCAUGUAUCGGACCACAUCAUCUUUGCAAAUAACCGUGCAUUCGGCCGAUAGCAAAUAAUGCCUUAACUUAACACAAGAGAAGUACAAGCAUAAGCAUAAUUUCUCAAUAGCCGAAUACCUGGUCUCAGCAUCGAUUAGCCUCCUGCUUAAAUAGUAAAUCACACGUUCUUUCCCUUCAAAUUCUUGAAUUAAAGCCGAACUGAUGACUGUUGGGUAUUUUAAACGCAAACAGAAAAAAUCCGCAAGCGCACGGAUACCGAUGUAGCUUUCACCCGGGAGUAUUCCAGAGUAUCGAUUUUCCACAGAGAACGUGAGUGUACUAAUUAAGAUCCAAGAUCGCCCAGGGAUAACUAUAUAAUUGUUUUUGGUGCGAAGAGAGGAAGUUUCCUGAGAGUUCUCUAGUUGAUCUAAGAAUCAAGAAUUACUUCAAGAUUAUCUAUAUCGGGACAUCAGAGCACUAACCACAGAAAGAGAUGAGAAGGGGGCUAGGAAGGUCUGACUACGGUCCUACAAACACCGAUCCGAACGUGGUGGAAUACGUCGACCGUUAGGGGUGUCACUACCCUAGGGCUACCACAACAAUCCGUAGGAUUGGGUGCAAUUCCAGGUAAUCGCAAGACUAAACACCACGUCUAAUCUAUUAAUUACUACUCUAGCGUUAUAAAGACUAGAGCACUUGAUGGAAGCGGGAAUCCAAUAAAUAACUUGAAUGUAAAUAAAAGUAUUAGAGAACUCAGGAGUUAUGAAUUGAAGAACCUGGAGAACGAUGAAGAACGAACCAGUUGCUGCAAAAGUACAAUGUUGAGGAAGAUCCGACAGAUCCGGCUCCUCCUCCGCUCUCCUCUUCUCUCUCCCUAUUUUCUAGAUUACAACUAGAACUAUCUAGAACUAGAACUAGAGGAACUAGAACUUGAACUAGAUGAACAAGAACUAGAUCUAGAUGAACUAGAGGUAGAACUAGAAGAACUAGAGGGAUCCUCUCUACUUGGAUGAAGAAUUGAAACCCUAACUUUGAUUCUGUAGAAGAGGUAUGACUCCAGGGCUGGUGGGGGUCUGCUUAUAUAGUCCAGGAAGAGUAGCCCCCAAGAAAUCUAGGAAGAGUAGCCCCCAAGAAAUCUAGGAAGAGUAGCUCCCAAGGAAUUUCCACGUUAUUCUCCACCAUCCGAUCAAGCUGACCUUAAUCGUGUGAUUUUCCUCGAUCCUUAGAGUCGGUGGAGCACGAUCCGCGAAGUUGAAGCUGAUUGGUUACUGUAGCUGGGCGGGCACCCAAAGGACUUGGGCGGGCGCCCUGCCCCCGGGCCCGAUCGGCCUCCCGUUCGUUCCCGUGGCUUCUAGAGUCUUCUAGAUGGUAGAAAAUUGCGCGGCACGUUAAUAUCUCUAUGUAAACCCGACGUGUGGGCCUUUCUUCCUUAUUUCCUGAUAACCCCCUGCAGAAAUAGACAAACACCAAAACUCGUGGAAUUUUGUCAGAUAAAACCCUAAGUCUAGGUGUUGGUUCCAUUUAGAUCCUUUGCCAUGAUUAGUUGAUGGUUAAAUGUGAGCAUUAAGGACCGUCAACAAGCUCCCCCAAGCUUAACCUUUGCUCGUCCCUGAGCAAAGAUGGACUCAAGAGUUUCUGCAGUGGUUUCAUAACUUAAAGAUACACAUGCGUUCAAACAAGAUCUCAUCUCUAGGUUAGGGUAAACUGUUAAGAUUUAAACUUACUCAUUUUACCUUUCACCAUGGGGCUUGCAACCGUCACUUCUGUCUUGAGUAGUUAAAAGAUAGAACGGUCUAGUCAAGCGCCAUGUCUCAUGUUCUUGAUUAACUAUAGCUCUGGAGUUUUUGCAGAUUUUCAAAUAAAACUCAGAGAUUCCUUGUAUGACUCUCUCUAGUCUCUCUUUUGUGGUAUUUCUGGAUCCUUACCAAGGCAGUAAUGGUAUAUGCCUUCUCUCAAAGUAUGUGGUAUUUUUGGUAUGAGGCAUAGUGACAUUGCCUUCUCUCUCACCCUACUCUAAUAAGGCUUUGAUAUCUGGAGCUCAUAGGUGGGAGACAGCUAAUACAUACUUACAAGACAUUUAUUGCAUAGUCAAACCAUGGAUCCAGAACAACAAGUCAAUAAGUCAAAUCAAGAUGUGCAUGUGUGGCGAAUGAAUGGUGUAUGGUGAUGAUGGUGAUAAUGGUGAAAGUCUAAUUCUACUUAUGCUCUUUUGAGGGGAUACAUACCUUUCUUGCUCUUUUGAAACUUUUUGAGGAGAAUGAGAUACUCUAUAUUUUUUUUUCUUUUCUCUCAGGUGGGUAUCUUGUACCCCUAAUUCUACUGUAGGACACUUGUCCAUUUUUACCUCUCGGCUCACUUUUUAUUUUCUUUUGAGGUUCCGGGCACUUGCCCCUUUUUAUUUCCUCGUAUUUUUUCUUUUUUUUUCUUUCUUUUUUUAGAGCACUCAUCUCAUGAGAUAAUAUAGCAAGUGGUAGUAACAAGAUAACUUGAGCAUUUAUUUCACAGGGGAAAACACAAAUGUUUUUGGCUAUUCUCUCCCACAUUAGGAGUAGAAUAUUUUUGGGUGGUUCUGGAGAUGGAAAUGGAUGGAUAUAUGUGGAUGCGUACUUCCGAAGUAGAAGUAGCAUGUAUGAGUGAACGUGGAAGUGAAUCUUGAUUUAACCACAUGACAAGCUCCUAAGGGUCUACACAGCUUGACCACACUCAAUGCUCAUAAGCAGUAAAAAGUAAAUGUGUGGCUCAAAGUCUAGCAAGCAUAUAUAAAUGGCUGUGGUAGGAAUUUAAACUCUCAACAUAUAGGAACUCAUCAUGUAACAUUUUAAAGAUUUUCAAAGAUAAAAUUCUCCAGAAUUCUAGCAUCUCUAGGAACAGAUAAACAGCAGCUCAACCUUCCCAUAUCAUAUCCGUUAACGACUUAGACUUCAGAUCAAGUACUCUCCCCACAAGUUCAGGUUUAGAGCAAAUCUUAAUUCAUAACAGUCAAGCCUAAACUUGAGAGAGAUUUCAAUUUUGAGAACUUGUCAUGGCAGAGCAACUAUUCAUCAUUUCCAUGUGAGAGCUUAUCAUGAGGGUUCAUAGCAAACUUUACUUAUUUAUUUAUUUAGCAAACUAAGCAAAGAUAUAUAUAUAUAUAUAAGCAUAUUAGAGUAAAGUAUAAACGUGCGUAGAAUACUUAGCUGGAUAAAUGGAGGCGCUCUCCCCCAAGCUCGAUUUUGACGCAAUUUCUUUUGAUGUAGUAGGUGGUGGAGGUGUAUUUGAAUGUCAGCAGCACCCUGGCAGCGAUUAGGAUGUCCUCCGUCUGCUAGUCUUCUUUGAUCCUUGAAUUCUGUGGAGCUCAAAUAGACAACAAAGCUUUGUGGAACUAGGUAAGUGUUAGCAUAAAUAUCUAGCCUUUAUCAUGUUGAGCCUCCUCAAUAAAUGUUACACUCUUUAGUAGGAUCAUAAAUUUAUUUUUAUAAUUUCAUUUUUAUAGGACAGGAAUAUAUUUAUUUUAUUUUUAUGCCACCACAGUGAAUGUACUUAUGGGUUUUAUGCCAUGAGCAUACUCACAUGGGGCUUACUAUUUUUAACAUUUUUAUUUUCUUUUCAAGAUGAUAUGAACAUGAUUAACUAAGCAAACUAUUUUAAAUAAUUGAAAGGAAAAAGAUAACUACCAAGUUUACCUCUUGGCAAGGCGUUCGGUGUUUUUAAGUCCUCCGAACGGGACUCUCUGUUUUCUUAGUCGUCCUAGGAUUCGCUGGAUGGCGUAGUCGGUGGUUCCGGCGGCGUCUGCUCUUCGUGUAUAACUAUCUUCUCUCUCCACACCUGACUCGGUGCUACGGUCUCCUCACGACAGUUCUGUUCAAGCUGUAUGUCUUCAGACCUUACUACUUCUUCUUCGUAGUCUGCUCAUCUGUCCUUGAUGAUUUGCCUCCUCUGGUUGCGGUUACGUCGUCUUCUUCUUGUCCUGACCUGCUUAGAAUCUUCAACUAUAUAGUUAGGGUCAGUAAAAUAGAGGCGUACCUUCUCAGAGGGGAAGUGCAUGUGGACUUCUCCGGUUCCAAUGUAGAUGAUUGCUUUAACGGUGCUGAGGAACCGUCUCCCAAGGAUGAUGGGUGGAUCGUACUCGUCUUCUCCCAAGUCAAUAACCUUCAACCCUUCAGAAUGUCUUAUCUGCCAUCUGGAGCUGGGUAUAUGUCGGGUUUAAGGGCAUAGUUCCGAACAGGAGCUGAUAGGUGACUGGGUCAUCCUUUUUGGUCAGGAACGGUGACUUAAGUCGACGGUCUUGACCUCCUUGAACUGCAGUGACCAUCUUAGCUGACUCGGUACACAUUUGCUUGUUCCUGUCCCUCCUGUUGGUCCUCUUCCUUGGUUCAUGUCGGGAUUGCUCUGAGAUUUGUGAAAUCUUGUUCUCAAAGGAAAACGUCUCCUUCUUCCCCUUGAUGUAGAAACUGAUCUUGGUAGCAUUAGCGUAGAUGACAGCUCCCGAGGUGUUCAGGAAUGGCCUCCAUAGAAUGAUGGGUGCCCUCUCAUUAGUACCAGUCUCUAUCACCACGAAGUCUGCUGGGGCGUAUAAGGUACCAACUCGGAUGCAGAAGUUCUUCAAUAUUCCCUUUGGGAAACUUAGUGUCUGAUCUGCAAGCUGCAAACACAUGGUUGUUUCUAGGAAAGGAUGUGUAAAGAAUUUUUCAUAGAGUACCCUGAGCAUAAUGUUGACGCUGGAGCCGAAGUCGCAGAGUGCUUCUAGGAAGUCCACCAUGCCGAUGGAGAUCGGGAUGACGGGGCGUCCUGGAUUGUCUCUCUUGACCGGUAGAAGGUCAGUAAUUACUUCCACAACGGGGUUACUCCAGUAGUUACGUCUUCAAGCAUCUCAGGGCAGUGAUUGCCUGAGUGUCCAGUAUCUCCAGUGUGUUUGUGCUCGUAGAUCUAGGUUCUUCACUUGGUGGAGUCUGGGAGUUGUAAAAGUCCUUCAUAUUUUGCUCGAAGUGUACCUGCUCAUUGAGACAAGGCAGAGAUCAAGUGCAUGGGCCCUGUUGGUGGAAAACACCAACAGAACCAAAACUGUAUUUUUUCUUCUCUAACCUUAAGCAUAGUGAGCAAGACAAAGUUGAUGGAUAAUAAGAUCAUGAGUGU
RNAcentral lists this long non-coding RNA (15934 nucleotides) under Sorghum bicolor (sorghum). Its description in RNAcentral is "long non-coding RNA (SBIC_LNC014385)". The record is from RNAcentral. Lineage: Eukaryota; Viridiplantae; Streptophyta; Magnoliopsida; Poales; Poaceae.